This 132-nucleotide small RNA is filed under the name Escherichia coli. Its description in RNAcentral is "RtT sRNA". It matches the Rfam family "RtT RNA". From Rfam's summary of the family: This family represents a bacterial cis-regulatory element known as RtT RNA. The exact function of RtT is unknown although it is thought that it may be involved in changing the cellular response in relation to amino acid starvation. Lineage: Bacteria; Pseudomonadati; Pseudomonadota; Gammaproteobacteria; Enterobacterales; Enterobacteriaceae. The record is from RNAcentral.
AUUCUGCCCAAGCGGGGCAGGAUGAGAAGCUUCGAGCAAGGUUCGACUUGAGCGCCAGCGAGAGAGCGUUGCCGCAGGCAACGACCCGUAGGGCGAAGCGCGCAGCGCUGAGUAAUCCUUCCCCCACCACCA